CCUACGGGCGACAGCAGUGGGGGAUAUUGCACAAUGGGGGAAACCCUGAUGCAGCGACGCCGCGUGAGUGAAGAAGGAUUUCGGUAUGUAAAGCUCUAUCAGCAGGGAAGAAAAUGACAGUACCUGACCAAGAAGCCCCGGCGAACUACGAGCCAGCAGCCGCGGUAAUACGUAGGGGGCAAGCGUCAUCCGGAGUGACUGGGUGUAAAGGGAGCGUAGACGGUUAUGUAAGUCUGGAGUGAAAGCCCGGGGCCCAACCCCGGGACUGCUUGGGAAACUGUGUAACUGGAGUACAGGAGGGGCAGGCGGAAUUCCUGGUGUAGCGGUGCAAUGCGUAGAUCUCAGGAGGAACCCCGGCGGCGACGGCGGCCUGCUGGACUGAAACUGACGUUGAGGCUCGAAAGCGUGGGUAGCAAACAGGAUUAGAUACCCUAGUAGUC
This 440-nucleotide ribosomal RNA is filed under the name uncultured bacterium. Its description in RNAcentral is "partial 16S ribosomal RNA". It matches the Rfam family "Bacterial small subunit ribosomal RNA", at positions 338 to 795 of the family's 1533-position model. The record is from RNAcentral.